UGCGCGUCCCGCUGCUCUUUAAUAGGUGUCGUGGGAACCACUUCCCCGAUCCACCCAGCCAUCUGCCUCUCGUGGCUGAGUUUCCUAUUGUGCCGGCUCGUCGGUUUCAGAGCAGGGGACUCUUAGGCUGAAAAACCGUUCUGCUAGGGAAAGGAAAUUAAUCUGGAAUCAUUUUCACACAUCAGAUCGUGCAAAGGCAAACAAACUACUGCGAAAGCACAAUAUGAAGGGAGGGAAGGGAAUGCAAAACCUGAAAAUGCUGAAAAAGCUCGGUGCGAGCGAGGGCUACGCAUUGACCGGGCUGUUCUUCUGCAGCAGUUCUUGUGUAAGGCGUCUGAGGCAUUCCUGUGCCAACACAGCUGCACGUCCGCUGUGAGCGGGGCCCGCUGAAGGAUUUGGGGUUGGUUUGCAGCGAGCUUCAUGCGCACGGCUUUUGCUCUGCCUCGCUCGCUCAUCUCGCUUUUAGUGUCACACUGAAAUACUCCACAUGGCUUUGGUGCUCUAGGUUUGAAAAGCAUGUUAGAAAAGUGAAGAUCUACGGAUCUGGAGGUCUAUGUGGGUUCCUCAUAGAAGUUUUAAAUUCUGUUUUUCUAUAAAAGAUCUGAAGUUGGUGUGUUCGAGUUUCCAGUUGCCUUUCAGCACAACACAGAAUCCUAAAGGUUUAAUCUAGAAAAGGCAGGAAAAAGGGGAUCUAAACAAAAUAUUUUCAGAAGUGACAUUGAUUAACAGCUGACGUAAGUCAGGAUAUCGUGGAUUUUGUACAUCCAGAAGUCAUCUGAGCAAAUCUCUUUGCUUUUUAUGGAGGGUGUGCUUUGAAUCAGAGCAAGUUAUUGAGUUGUCUCAGAGUAAAUGUGUAACUGGGCAGUUGUUCGUGUCUUGAAAAGGUCACGGUGAAAUUAGACACAGGUGGAUGAAUCGAGUAACAGAAACUUCAGGAUAGCGAGGAUCUUUCAAAGUGAACAUCCUUUUGAAGAUACAAAGUUUUGUGUAUAUGCUAAAUUAAAAACUACCUACACUUUAAAAGAAAUUAGAAACCUUUUUUCUUUUUUGUUUUUCCUUCUUUUUUUUUUUUAAUUCACACUUGCAGUUUUGAGUAUCUGCCAUGUGAGUAUGUUUCUGGUAUGUCAGAGAACAAAGAAUAAAUCUGGUUUAGCUUGAUCAUGGAAUUCUUUCCUCACCUCCAAGAAUCGAUGUAUAUAUUUUAAAUAUAGUUAAAUGUUUGCUGCAAAUAGUCACUUGUAUUAAGUUCAGCAUUUCUUUCUGUAUAACCUCUGACCUUGAAAAGCUGGUUCUUAAUGUAUCUCCAGGAAGUUUUAUGGAUUUUUUUUCAUAUCCUUUAUCAUAAUCAAUGGAUCUUUUUUCCUGCUGGGAUAUUCAUAAAAUCUUAGUUAGUUAGUUAGAUUUGGGGGGAGGGGGAGAGAAACCAUGAAAAAAUGGAAUCUUUCUUAUACUUAAAUUCAGUAGUGAUUUGCUGUUUCAUCUAAGUCUGUCUUAGCCUUAAACAGAUUAAUGUAUCUUCUUACAGAAUUCAGAGUAGUGACGGAAUGAUGUAGUAAUCAAUUUUUAUUUCAUUUUUUUCCCUGCUUUUAAGAACUUGGAAAGAUGUUUGUGCUCUGCACUGUGAAAGCUGAAUCCAUAGAUUGUUUGAAGGAAAAUAUUUACAGACAACAAGUAAGGUAUAAAAGGAAGAAUGACGUGUCUGUUUUGAAGUGGAAAGGGAAUGCAAGUAAGCAAAAUGUAACAAAGUGAUUUGGAAUUUGGCUGGCAUCUUUGUUCCAAAUGCCAGUACUUAAAAGCCUUAAAUACUGGUUCUUUCUCAUUACGUUGAAUGAGGACAUUGGUCAAGCGUACUGUAUUGGAAAUCUUCUUGUUAGAAUAUUAAGCUUUCACAAUUGUUUUUUAAUCCACAGUUGUUAGCUAAUUGAGUAGAACUGAUGAUGUAAAUAGCCAAUAAAUAAAUAAAUAAAUAAAUAAAUUGAAGUGAUGUUGAUUUAUCUAAAUGAAGGAGAGAUGAAGGAGAGACCAUGGACUAAAGUGCCAACUAUCUCUUUUUAGUAAUGAUUACUUAUGGCAUCAUAGUACUAAUGCACAAAAACUAAUUUUCAAAAGAAAAGAUUUAUAUAGACCUUCUUUUCUAUGGCAAUGAAUACCUUUUCAUUAGUUGUCCAUUUCUUUGAUCUGCAGUCAGGUAAAUUUGUACUCAAUCUGAUUUCAAUAGAGGCUUUUAUUCCUUGGACGCAGGAGUAUCAAGCUAGCUACUGCAAUAUAGCUUUGUUUAAUCAUUUCUUUGUCUUACUUGUAAACAGUUUCUUUUUGACUACGUGUAAUCUGACUACAAUAUUUGAAUAAGAAUAAGCAUGUAGCCUUAAAAUUGUGAAAUUCUGCUAAUAAAUUUUAUUCAAUACAGAAUGAUUGAAUGCAGGUGCUAGUAAAAGAUGCAAAAAAAC
This is a non-coding RNA of Meleagris gallopavo (turkey), 2447 nucleotides long. Lineage: Eukaryota; Metazoa; Chordata; Aves; Galliformes; Phasianidae. The record is from RefSeq and is a predicted model, not a curated record.